AACGCACAUUGCGCCCCCCGGCUUCCCGGGGGGCAUGCCUGUCCGAGCGUCAUUGCCAUCCCCUCAAGCUCUGCUUGGCUUGUUGGGCCAGCGUCCGCCUGCGGCUCCUGUCGCGGGGGGACGGGCCCGAAAGGCAGUGGCGGCUCCUGGAGACUUGGUCCUUUGGGCGGUGAUGCAUGGGGUCUCUUCAUCCACCGUCCCGUUGGCCACGCCCCGGGAGUCUGUCGAACGAUUGGUCUUCCCCCUUUAGGUUGACCUCGGAUCAGGUAGGGAUACCCGCUGAACUUAA
This 289-nucleotide unclassified non-coding RNA is filed under the name uncultured fungus. RNAcentral's name for it is "sequence contains ITS2". The record is from RNAcentral. Lineage: Eukaryota; Fungi.